GACGUAGGGCGCGAGCGUUGUCCGGAUUUAUUGGGCGUAAAGCGCUCGUAGGCGGCUUGUCGCGUCGAAUGUGAAAUCUCGGGGCUCAACUCCGAGCUUGCAUUCGAUACGGGCAGGCUAGAGUUCGGUAGGGGAGACUGGAAUUCCUGGUGUAGCGGUGAAAUGCGCAGAUAUCAGGAGGAACACCGGUGGCGAAGGCGGGUCUCUGGGCCGAUACUGACGCUGAGGAGCGAAAGCGUGGGGAGCGAACAGG
This 253-nucleotide ribosomal RNA is filed under the name uncultured bacterium. RNAcentral describes it as "partial 16S ribosomal RNA". It matches the Rfam family "Bacterial small subunit ribosomal RNA", at positions 524 to 776 of the family's 1533-position model. The record is from RNAcentral.